GAGGCUAUAGCUCAGUGAUAGAGUGUGUGCUUCAUAAACAUGAGGCCCUGGAUCUAAUCCCCAGUACCUCCA
Molecule: transfer RNA, 72 nt
Filed under: Camelus ferus (Wild Bactrian camel)
Lineage: Eukaryota; Metazoa; Chordata; Mammalia; Artiodactyla; Camelidae
Rfam family: tRNA
About the family: Transfer RNA (tRNA) molecules are approximately 80 nucleotides in length.
Source: Rfam by way of RNAcentral